GGAAGUGGAAGUCCAACACUGUGUUACUGCAAAGCAGUUUGUUAGGGACUUGUGGCUGAAAUUGUGUGAAUGUGCACUCACUGUUACACUGUAUCUGAUGGCACUAUUUGGUUUAUUUUGAUUUGUUCACUGUGAAUUUUACCAUUUGUCUCUUGGUUAAAGUUUAUGUACUCCCAGGUCAUCUUAUCAUGGUUCUAUUGGUUCAGUGUUUAUGUAUUCCUGUGUGUCUCAUCAUGGUUCUACUGGUUAAUGUUCAUGUAUUCACUUUAUAUCUCAUCAUGGUUCUACUGGUUAAUGUUCAUGUACUGACUGUAUGUUUCUCAUAAGAACUGAAAGAGACUUGCUUUCAAAGUUCAGUGGAUUGAAAUUUGCUAUCGUAAUUUUAAUGGCUCUACUUUGUUAAUGUUAAUCUGCUCACUGUUUUUCUCACAAAAAGUAUAAAAGAUGAAGCGACUCAAAAUGCCAUGUGAUGAAAUUUUUGGUACAAACGCGUGAUCUAUCACUUGCUCGUAUGAUUAAGUCCCAUUUUGCGGCAUAUUCUCUGAAUUUUGAUGUUGCAAUGAAAGAGUCACGACUGAUUGUGUGACACAAACACUUAGAUGUCACGGAUGGACGACUACAUUUAUCAACAAUAUAGAACAGAAUAAAAUGUUUCACUCCAAAUAUCGUUCCAUUUUAAACACAAAGUAGAGGUUUGCAAAAAAGUUUUUUUACUCAGUAAAUAUAUCUCAGGGAAAUAACUAUGUAUCAGCUGAUGAUGUCUUAAAUAGAAGACGAAGCGUCAUCUUUAAAACAAA
Molecule: long non-coding RNA, 797 nt
Organism: Xenia sp. Carnegie-2017
Lineage: Eukaryota; Metazoa; Cnidaria; Anthozoa; Malacalcyonacea; Xeniidae
Exons: 4
Source: RefSeq, a predicted model, not a curated record